Molecule: ribosomal RNA, 228 nt
Filed under: uncultured archaeon
Lineage: Archaea
Description: partial 16S ribosomal RNA
Rfam family: Archaeal small subunit ribosomal RNA
Source: RNAcentral
GCCACUGCUAUUGGGGUUCGGCUAAGCCAUGCGAGUGGAGGGCGUCCCGCAAGGGAUGGCCCCGCAGACGGCUCAGUAACACGUCGUCAACCCACCUUAGGGUGGGGGACAACCUCGGGAAACUGAGGAUAAUCCCCCAUAGGCAGGGGAGGCUGGAAUGCGCCCCCGCUGAAAGCUCAGGCGCCCUAGGACGGGACGGCGGCCUAUCAGGUAGUUGGUGGUGUGACG